RNAcentral lists this long non-coding RNA (249 nucleotides) under Olea europaea (common olive). Its description in RNAcentral is "long non-coding RNA (OEUR_LNC000758)". Lineage: Eukaryota; Viridiplantae; Streptophyta; Magnoliopsida; Lamiales; Oleaceae. The record is from RNAcentral.
AAAUUUCUUUUUUCAAUUUUUCCAACCUAUUUUCUGUUAUCAUUUUUAAGACUGUAACUGGUUUAAAUUUUUCUGUACUCCAGCAUCCACCACGCUGGGUUGAGGAACUCUGAUGGUUUAUAUCUCUAUAUGCAAUUGUAAUAGCUUUAUUUAUUUUUGGUGUAAAUAUUUUAUGUGCACAAGGUGUUGUGAACAUAUACUUAUCAAUAUAUUGUGUAAAUGGUGCAAUUUUAAUAUGAAAUUUUGUCC